RNAcentral lists this ribosomal RNA (253 nucleotides) under uncultured bacterium. RNAcentral describes it as "partial 16S ribosomal RNA". It matches the Rfam family "Bacterial small subunit ribosomal RNA", at positions 524 to 776 of the family's 1533-position model. The record is from RNAcentral.
UACAGAGGUGGCAAGCGUUGUUCGGAAUUACUGGGCGUAAAGGGCGCGUAGGCGGCCUUCUAAGUCAGACGUGAAAUCCCCCGGCUUAACCUGGGAACUGCGUCUGAUACUGGAAGGCUUGAGUGCGGGAGAGGGAUGUGGAAUUCCAGGUGUAGCGGUGAAAUGCGUAGAUAUCUGGAGGAACACCGGUGGCGAAGGCGGCACCCUGGACCGACACUGACGCUGAGGCGCGAAAGCUAGGGUAGCAAACGGG